GCCCUUCGGGGUACACGAGCGGCGAACGGGUGAGUAACACGUGAGCAACCUGCCCCUGACUCCGGGAUAAGCGGUGGAAACGCCGUCUAAUACCGGAUACGACCCGCCACCUCAUGGUGGAGGGUGGAAAGUUUUAUCGGUCAGGGAUGGGCUCGCGGCCUAUCAGCUUGUUGGUGGGGUAACGGCCUACCAAGGCGAUUACGGGUAGCCGGCCUGAGAGGGCGACCGGCCACACUGGGACUGAGACACGGCCCAGACUCCUGCGGGAGGCAGCAGUGGGGAAUAUUGCACAAUGGGCGAAAGCCUGAUGCAGCGACGCCGCGUGGGGGAUGACGGCCUUCGGGUUGUAAACCUCUUUUACCACCAACGCAGGCUCCACGUUCUCGUGGGGUUGACGGUAGGUGGGGAAUAAGGACCGGCUAACUACGUGCCAGCAGCCGCGGUAAUACGUAGGGUCCGAGCGUUGUCCGGAAUUAUUGGGCGUAAAGAGCUCGUAGGCGGCAUGUCGCGUCUGCUGUGAAAGACCGGGGCUUAACUCCGGUUCUGCAGUGGAUACGGGCAUGCUAGAGGUAGGUAGGGGAAACUGGAAUUCCUGGUGUAGCGGUGAAAUGCGCAGAUAUCAGGAGGAACACCGGUGGCGAAGGCGGGUUUCUGGGCCUUACCUGACGCUGAGGAGCGAAAGCAUGGGGAGCGAACAGGAUUAGAUACCCUGGUAGUCCAUGCCGUAAACGUUGGGCGCUAGGUGUGGGGACUUUCCACG
This 760-nucleotide ribosomal RNA is filed under the name Nocardiopsis sp. YIM 92629. RNAcentral describes it as "bacterial SSU rRNA". It matches the Rfam family "Bacterial small subunit ribosomal RNA", at positions 75 to 837 of the family's 1533-position model. The record is from RNAcentral. Lineage: Bacteria; Bacillati; Actinomycetota; Actinomycetes; Streptosporangiales; Nocardiopsidaceae.